Myotis brandtii (Brandt's bat) is the source of this 61-nucleotide non-coding RNA. The record is from Rfam. Lineage: Eukaryota; Metazoa; Chordata; Mammalia; Chiroptera; Vespertilionidae.
GAUGGUUCUCGGGUGAUGCACCCCGAAUCGGGCUCCCUUCUCUCUGGUUCUGGGGUGCAUC